Molecule: ribosomal RNA, 724 nt
Filed under: uncultured bacterium
Lineage: Bacteria
Description: bacterial SSU rRNA
Rfam family: Bacterial small subunit ribosomal RNA
Source: RNAcentral
GCAGGCCUAACACAUGCAAGUCGAACGGCAGCGGGGGGUAGCUUGCUACCUCGCCGGCGAGUGGCGGACGGGUGAGUAAUGCCUGGGGAGCUGCCCAAUCGAGGGGGAUACCAGUUGGAAACGACUGCUAAUACCGCAUACGCCCUGAGGGGGAAAGGUGGGGAUCUUCGGACCUACCGCGAUUGGAUGCGCCCAGGUGGGAUUAGCUAGUUGGUGAGGUAACGGCUCACCAAGGCGACGAUCUCUAGCUGGUCUGAGAGGAUGACCAGCCACACUGGAACUGAGACACGGUCCAGACUCCUACGGGAGGCAGCAGUGGGGAAUAUUGCACAAUGGGGGAAACCCUGAUGCAGCCAUGCCGCGUGUGUGAAGAAGGCCUUCGGGUUGUAAAGCACUUUCAGUCAGGAGGAAAGGUGGCUAGCUAAUACCUAGUUGCUGUGACGUUACUGACAGAAGAAGCACCGGCUAACUCCGUGCCAGCAGCCGCGGUAAUACGGAGGGUGCAAGCGUUAAUCGGAAUUACUGGGCGUAAAGCGCACGCAGGCGGCUUGUUAAGUCAGAUGUGAAAGCCCCGGGCUCAACCUGGGAACUGCAUUUGAAACUGACAAGCUAGAGUCUUGUAGAGGGGGGUAGAAUUCCAGGUGUAGCGGUGAAAUGCGUAGAGAUCUGGAGGAAUACCGGUGGCGAAGCGGCCCCCUGGACAAAGACUGACGCUCAGUGCGAA